This 489-nucleotide unclassified non-coding RNA is filed under the name Hevea brasiliensis (rubber tree). Lineage: Eukaryota; Viridiplantae; Streptophyta; Magnoliopsida; Malpighiales; Euphorbiaceae. The record is from RNAcentral.
CGCAGAACCAUUUUAUUUGAAUCUGAUAUUCAAACUGUACUUAAAUUACAACAUUAAAAGAUGGGACAUCUAAACAUAAUGUGCUACUCAUUUGGGAAAGGAUAUUUCCCUAAGACCUAGGUAGAUGAAAUAUAGAGCUAAACAUUCAGAAUGAGAUCCAUGAAGCACCAACCCUAUCCCGAGGAAUUAGGCGUAGUUCAGACCCAUGUUUAAGAAAGACGUUACCUGCACUUUGUUGAGGAUUAAUUCCGACACCAUCAUUAGUUAUGAUGGCGCUUGUUUGAGGAGGGACUUUGAAUUCCUCAGCCGCAAAUUUGAGAACAGCGGUGAACGGAGCUGCCUCCGGAACGCUAAAAACUUUAAAUGGCAAUUUGGGAUCGGAAGUUAGAGUGACUUUGAACGACACUUUUCCGCUGCCACCAGCACCACCGCCACUCGCCAUUAUUCCUCUUGUUUCCGAUACUGCAACGGGAAUUUUUCUGUGUUUUG